UCUGGUUUGAUCCUGGCGGAGGUUACUGCUAUCGAGGUUCGACUAAGCCAUGCGAGUCGAAUGUAGCAAUACAUGGCGUACUGCUCAGUAACACGUGGACAACCUACCCUGAGGUCGGGGAUAAACCCGGGAAACUGGGUAUAAUACCCGAUAGAUCUAGAUUGCUGGAAUGCUUUUAGGUCUAAAGUUCCGACGCCUCAGGAUGGGUCUGCGGCCUAUCAGGGUAGUAGUGGGUGUAAAGUACCUACUAGCCUACGACGGGUACGGGUUGUGAGAGCAAGAGCCCGGAGAUGGAUUCUGAGACACGAAUCCAGGCCCUACGGGGUGCAGCAGGCGCGAAACCUUUACAAUGCUGGCAACAGCGAUAAGGGGACCUCGAGUGCUACGAUACAAUCGUGGCUGUCUAGUUGCCUAAAAAGCAAUUGAUAGCAAGGGCCGGGCAAGACCGGUGCCAGCCGCCGCGGUAACACCGGCGGCUCGAGUGGUAACCGCUAUUAUUGGGUCUAAAGGGUCUGUAGCCGGCUUAGUUAGUCUCUUGAGAAAUCUGGCCGCUCAACGGUCAGGCGUUCAGGGGAUACUGCUAAAGCUCGAGACCGGGAGAGGUGAGAGAUACUUCAGGGGUAGGGGUGAAAUCUUGUAAUCCUUGAAGGACCACCAGUGGCGAAGGCGUCUCACCAGAACGGAUCUGACGGCAAGGGACGAAAGCUAGGGGCACGAACCGGAUUAGAUACCCGGGUAGUCCUAGCCGUAAACGAUACUCGCUAGGUGUCGGCCACGGUGCGACCGUGGUCGGUGCCGUAGGGAAGCCGUGAAGCGAGCCACCUGGGAAGUACGGCCGCAAGGCUGAAACUUAAAGGAAUUGGCGGGGGAGUACUACAACGGGUGGAGUUUGCGGUUUAAUUGGAUUCAACGCUGGAAAUCUUACCGGGGCCGACAGCGAUAUGAAGGCCAGGCUAAGGACCUUGCCUGAUUAGCUGAGAGGUGGUGCAUGGCCGUCGUCAGUUCGUACUGUGAAGCAUCCUGUUAAGUCAGGCAACGAGCGAGACCCA
RNAcentral lists this ribosomal RNA (1049 nucleotides) under uncultured archaeon. Its description in RNAcentral is "bacterial SSU rRNA". It matches the Rfam family "Archaeal small subunit ribosomal RNA", at positions 1 to 1054 of the family's 1478-position model. The record is from RNAcentral.